UGCUGGUCUGGUAGUCAUGGUGACAGUGUUUGGACUGGUCCUGCUCCUGUUCUACAGACAGAGGAGAGGAACCAGGAGAACACCACCACCACCACCAGUCUCCUCCAACACACAACCUGACCCUACUGGAGAGGUUGACUGUGUGUGUGAGGAGAUCAGAGAGGCAGACAGACAGACAGACAUACUCCUUGUGGUCAUCUCUUCAGUCUACUCUACUGUAAACUCACCUACCAACUCUACAACCUACCCAGCUGGUCAAGCCUCUACAACCUACCCUGCUGGACAAGCCUCUUCAACCUACCCUGCUGGUCAAGCCUCUACAACCUACCCUGCUGGACAAUACCUCUACAACCUACCCUGCUGGACAAGCCUCUACAACCUACCCUGCUGGCCAAGCCUCUACAACCUACCCUGCUGGCCAAGCCUCUACAACCUACCCUGCUGGACAAGCCUCUACAACCUACCCUGCUGGACAAGACUCUACAACCUACCCUGCUGGACAAGCCUCUACAACCUACCCUGCUGGCCAAGUCUCUACAACCUACCAUGCUGGACAAGCCUCUACAACCUACCCUGCUGGACAAGCCUCUACAACCUACCCUGCUGGCCAAGCCUCUACAACCUACCCUGCUGGCCAAGCCUCUACAACCUACCCUGCUGGCCAAGCCUCUACAACCUACCCUGCUGGCCAAGCCUCUACUACCUACCCUGCUGGUCAAGCCUCUACAACCUACCCUGCUGGACAAGCCUCUACAACCUACCCUGCUGACCAAGCCUCUACAACCUACCCUGCUGGUCAAGCCUCUACAACCUACCCUGCUGGACAAGCCUCUACAACCUACCCUGCUGGACAAGCCUCUACAACCUACCCUGCUGGCCAACCCUCUACAACCUACCCUGCUGGUCAAGCCUCUACAACCUACCAUGCUGGACAAGCCUCUACAACCUACCCUGCUAACCAAGCCUCUACAAUCUACCCUGCUGGUCAAGCCUCUACAACCUACCCUGCUGGACAAUUCUCUACAACCUACCCUGCUGGACAAGCCUCUACAACCUACCCUGCUAGCUCUGCCACAGGUAUUCCACAGAUUCAUGUGUAACUGCACACGUGGAGUGUUUGAAAGUGGGCGUUGACAAAUAAGUGGGAAGAGCAACAUUAGUGGGUGUAUGGAAACCUAACAGCUAAUUGGGCAGUUUGGUGGCCACUCAAUAUCUAUUUGCAUGGCUGCUUGCUGCUUCCUUGUAGCAUUUUAG
RNAcentral lists this long non-coding RNA (1254 nucleotides) under Salmo trutta (river trout). RNAcentral's name for it is "lncRNA (ENSSTUG00000032129.1)". The record is from RNAcentral. Lineage: Eukaryota; Metazoa; Chordata; Actinopteri; Salmoniformes; Salmonidae.